RNAcentral lists this ribosomal RNA (875 nucleotides) under uncultured bacterium. RNAcentral's name for it is "bacterial SSU rRNA". It matches the Rfam family "Bacterial small subunit ribosomal RNA", at positions 49 to 916 of the family's 1533-position model. The record is from RNAcentral.
UAACACAUGCAAGUCGAGCGGGGGAGAUUGCUUCGGUAAUUGACCUAGCGGCGGACGGGUGAGUAAUACUUAGGAAUCUGCCUAUUAAUGGGGGACAACAUCUCGAAAGGGAUGCUAAUACCGCAUACGCCCUACGGGGGAAAGCAGGGGAUCACUUGUGACCUUGCGUUAAUAGAUGAGCCUAAGUCGGAUUAGCUAGUUGGUGGGGUAAAGGCCUACCAAGGCGACGAUCUGUAGCGGGUCUGAGAGGAUGAUCCGCCACACUGGGACUGAGACACGGCCCAGACUCCUACGGGAGGCAGCAGUGGGGAAUAUUGGACAAUGGGGGGAACCCUGAUCCAGCCAUGCCGCGUGUGUGAAGAAGGCCUUAUGGUUGUAAAGCACUUUAAGCGAGGAGGAGGCUCUUUUGGUUAAUACCCAAGAUGAGUGGACGUUACUCGCAGAAUAAGCACCGGCUAACUCUGUGCCAGCAGCCGCGGUAAUACAGAGGGUGCGAGCGUUAAUCGGAUUUACUGGGCGUAAAGCGUGCGUAGGCGGCUUUUUAAGUCGGUUGUGAAAUCCCCGAGCUUAACUUGGGAAUUGCAUUCGAUACUGGGAAGCUAGAGUAUGGGAGAGGAUGGUAGAAUUCCAGGUGUAGCGGUGAAAUGCGUAGAGAUCUGGAGGAAUACCGAUGGCGAAGGCAGCCAUCUGGCCUAAUACUGACGCUGAGGUACGAAAGCAUGGGGAGCAAACAGGAUUAGAUACCCUGGUAGUCCAUGCCGUAAACGAUGUCUACUGGCCGUUGGGGUCUUUGAGACUUUAGUGGCGCAGCUAACGCGAUAAGUAGACCGCCUGGGGAGUACGGUCGCAAGACUAAAACUCAAAUGAAUUGACGG